Molecule: ribosomal RNA, 253 nt
Filed under: uncultured bacterium
Lineage: Bacteria
Description: partial 16S ribosomal RNA
Rfam family: Bacterial small subunit ribosomal RNA
Source: RNAcentral
UACGUAGGGUGCAAGCGUUAUCCGGAAUUAUUGGGCGUAAAGAGCUCGUAGGCGGUCUGUCGCGUCGAAUGUGAAAACCCGGGGCUCAACUCCGGGCUUGCAUUCGAUACGGGCAGGCUAGAGUUCGGUAGGGGAGUCUGGAAUUCCUGGUGUAGCGGUGAAAUGCGCAGAUAUCAGGAGGAACACCGGUGGCGAAGGCGGGACUCUGGGCCGAUACUGACGCUGAGGAGCGAAAGCGUGGGGAGCGAACAGG